Molecule: ribosomal RNA, 484 nt
Filed under: uncultured bacterium
Lineage: Bacteria
Description: bacterial SSU rRNA
Rfam family: Bacterial small subunit ribosomal RNA
Source: RNAcentral
AUUGAACGCUGGCGGCAUGCCUUACACAUGCAAGUCGAACGGCAGCACGGGAGCAAUCCUGGUGGCGAGUGGCGAACGGGUGAGUAAUAUAUCGGAACGUGCCCAGUCGUGGGGGAUAACGUAGCGAAAGCUACGCUAAUACCGCAUACGAUCUACGGAUGAAAGCGGGGGAUCGCAAGACCUCGCGCGAUUGGAGCGGCCGAUAUCAGAUUAGCUAGUUGGUGGGGUAAAAGCUCACCAAGGCGACGAUCUGUAGCUGGUCUGAGAGGACGACCAGCCACACUGGAACUGAGACACGGUCCAGACUCCUACGGGAGGCAGCAGUGGGGAAUUUUGGACAAUGGGGGCAACCCUGAUCCAGCCAUGCCGCGUGAGUGAAGAAGGCCUUCGGGUUGUAAAGCUCUUUCGGCCGGGAAGAAAUCGUAUGGGUUAAUACCCUGUGCGGAUGACGGUACCGGCAUAAGAAGCACCGGCUAACUACGUG